This 261-nucleotide non-coding RNA is filed under the name Desulfoscipio gibsoniae. RNAcentral's name for it is "Desulfotomaculum gibsoniae T-box sequence". It matches the Rfam family "T-box leader". Rfam says of the family: Uncharged tRNA acts as the effector for transcription antitermination of genes in the T-box leader family. T-boxes are found upstream of many aminoacyl-tRNA synthetase genes and some amino acid biosynthetic genes usually in Gram-positive bacteria. The anticodon of a specific tRNA base pairs to a specifier sequence within the T-box motif, and the NCCA acceptor tail of the tRNA base pairs to a conserved bulge in the T-box antiterminator hairpin. Lineage: Bacteria; Bacillati; Bacillota; Clostridia; Eubacteriales; Desulfallaceae. The record is from RNAcentral.
AAAAUGACAAUGACAGGGAAUAGUAAGUGGUUUUUGCCGGUUCAGAGAGCCGCCGGUUGGUGCGAGGCGGUCAGUGGCACAUCGCCGAACUCUCCCUUGAGUUGCCGGUCGAAAUCCUUGGGGAUAGUAGGUCCGGACGGGGUCUUCCGCCGUUAAAAGGAAGGGGGUAUCGGAUUUUAUCAAUCCCGUAUCCUUUAAGAGAGAGCGGCUUAGUGCCGUUAAUUUGAGUGGUACCACGGAGGCAAACCCUUCGUCUCAUAU